This 376-nucleotide ribosomal RNA is filed under the name uncultured bacterium. RNAcentral describes it as "bacterial SSU rRNA". It matches the Rfam family "Bacterial small subunit ribosomal RNA", at positions 524 to 898 of the family's 1533-position model. The record is from RNAcentral.
UACGUAGGUGGCGAGCGUUGUCCGGAAUUAUUGGGCGUAAAGGGCGCGUAGGCGGUCGUUUAAGUCAGGUGUGAAAGCCCCCGGCUCAACUGGGGAGAGCCACCUGAUACUGGGCGACUAGAGUGCAGGAGAGGAAAGUGGAAUUCCAUGUGUAGCGGUGAAAUGCGUAGAUAUAUGGAGGAACACCAGUGGCGAAGGCGGCUUUCUGGACUGCAACUGACGCUGAGGCGCGAAAGCUGGGGGAGCAAACGGGAUUAGAUACCCCGGUAGUCCCAGCCGUAAACGAUGGAUGCUAGGUGUGGGGGGUAUCGACCCCUUCCGUGCCGCAGUUAACACAAUAAGCAUCCCGCCUGGGGAGUACGGCCGCAAGGUUGAA